CACGUGGGAACCUUCCCUAUGGUUCGGAAUAGCUCAGGGAAACUUGGGUUAAUACCGGAUAAGCCCUUCGGGGAAAGAUUUAUCGCCAUUGGAUGGGCCCGCGUCGGAUUAGCUAGUUGGUGAGGUAACGGCUCACCAAGGCAACGAUCCGUAGCUGGUCUGAGAGGAUGAUCAGCCACACUGGGACUGAGACACGGCCCAGACUCCUACGGGAGGCAGCAGUGGGGAAUAUUGGACAAUGGGCGCAAGCCUGAUCCAGCCAUGCCGCGUGAGUGACGAAGGUCUUCGGAUUGUAAAACU
Molecule: ribosomal RNA, 300 nt
Filed under: uncultured Pedomicrobium sp.
Lineage: Bacteria; Pseudomonadati; Pseudomonadota; Alphaproteobacteria; Hyphomicrobiales; Hyphomicrobiaceae
Description: bacterial SSU rRNA
Rfam family: Bacterial small subunit ribosomal RNA
Source: RNAcentral